AGCAGCAUGGCCUAAUGGUUUGAGUGUUGGACUACGACUCUGGAGACCAGGGUUCGAUUCCCAUCUCGGCCA
Molecule: transfer RNA, 72 nt
Filed under: Phrynosoma platyrhinos (Desert horned lizard)
Lineage: Eukaryota; Metazoa; Chordata; Lepidosauria; Squamata; Phrynosomatidae
Description: tRNA-OTHER
Source: RNAcentral